Molecule: ribosomal RNA, 253 nt
Filed under: uncultured bacterium
Lineage: Bacteria
Description: partial 16S ribosomal RNA
Rfam family: Bacterial small subunit ribosomal RNA
Source: RNAcentral
UACAGAGGUCCCAAGCGUUGUUCGGAUUCACUGGGCGUAAAGGGUGCGUAGGUGGUGAAGUAAGUCGGAUGUGAAAUCUCGGAGCUUAACUCCGAAACUGCAUUGGAAACUACUUUGCUCGAGGGUUGGAGGGGGGACUGGAAUUCUCGGUGUAGCAGUGAAAUGCGUAGAUAUCGAGAGGAACACCAGUGGCGAAGGCGAGUCCCUGGACAACUCCUGACACUGAGGCACGAAAGCUAGGGGAGCAAACAGG